This 332-nucleotide ribosomal RNA is filed under the name Serratia sp. (in: enterobacteria). RNAcentral describes it as "bacterial SSU rRNA". It matches the Rfam family "Bacterial small subunit ribosomal RNA", at positions 107 to 442 of the family's 1533-position model. The record is from RNAcentral. Lineage: Bacteria; Pseudomonadati; Pseudomonadota; Gammaproteobacteria; Enterobacterales; Yersiniaceae.
UGAGUAAUGUCUGGGAAACUGCCUGAUGGAGGGGGAUAACUACUGGAAACGGURGCUAAUACCGCAUAACGUCUACGGACCAAAGUGGGGGACCUUCGGGCCUCAUGCCAUCAGAUGUGCCCAGAUGGGAUUAGCUAGUAGGUGGGGUAAUGGCUCACCUAGGCGACGAUCCCUAGCUGGUCUGAGAGGAUGACCAGCCACACUGGAACUGAGACACGGUCCAGACUCCUACGGGAGGCAGCAGUGGGGAAUAUUGCACAAUGGGCGCAAGCCUGAUGCAGCCAUGCCGCGUGUGUGAAGAAGGCCUUCGGGUUGUAAAGCACUUUCAGCGA